UACGGGGGGUGCAAGCGUUGUUCGGAAUUACUGGGCGUAAAGGGCGCGUAGGCGGCCUGUUAAGUCGAACGUGAAAUCCCCGGGCUCAACCCGGGAACUGCGUCCGAUACUGGCAGGCUUGAAUCCGGGAGAGGGAUGCGGAAUUCCUGGUGUAGCGGUGAAAUGCGCAGAUAUCAGGAGGAACACCGGUGGCGAAGGCGGGUCUCUGGGCAACAACUGACGCUGAGGAGCGAAAGCGUGGGGAGCGAACAGG
This 253-nucleotide ribosomal RNA is filed under the name uncultured bacterium. RNAcentral's name for it is "partial 16S ribosomal RNA". It matches the Rfam family "Bacterial small subunit ribosomal RNA", at positions 524 to 776 of the family's 1533-position model. The record is from RNAcentral.